Molecule: non-coding RNA, 48 nt
Filed under: Schistosoma mansoni
Lineage: Eukaryota; Metazoa; Platyhelminthes; Trematoda; Strigeidida; Schistosomatidae
Source: RNAcentral
AUCCAGUUGACGAGUCCCAAAUAGGGAGAAACGCGCAUCAAACUGGAU